GAUGUACGCUGGCGGCGCGCCUAACACAUGCAAGUCGAACGGCACCCCUCCUCGGAGGGAAGCGAGUGGCGAACGGCUGAGUAACACGUGGAGAACCUGCCCCCUCCCCCGGGAUAGCCGCCCGAAAGGACGGGUAAUACCGGAUACCCCGGGGUGCCGCAUGGCACCCCGGCUAAAGCCCCGACGGGAGGGGAUGGCUCCGCGGCCCAUCAGGUAGACGGCGGGGUGACGGCCCACCGUGCCGACAACGGGUAGCCGGGUUGAGAGACCGACCGGCCAGAUUGGGACUGAGACACGGCCCAGACUCCUACGGGAGGCAGCAGUGGGGAAUCUUGCGCAAUGGGGGGAACCCUGACGCAGCGACGCCGCGUGCGGGACGGAGGCCUUCGGGUCGUAAACCGCUUUCAGCAGGGAAGAGUCAAGACUGUACCUGCAGAAGAAGCCCCGGCUAACUACGUG
RNAcentral lists this ribosomal RNA (459 nucleotides) under uncultured bacterium. RNAcentral's name for it is "partial 16S ribosomal RNA". It matches the Rfam family "Bacterial small subunit ribosomal RNA", at positions 28 to 507 of the family's 1533-position model. The record is from RNAcentral.